UACGCUUGUUGGUGAGUAUGGCUCACCAAGGCGACGACGGGUAGCCGGCCUGAGAGGGCGACCGGCCACACUGGGACUGAGACACGGCCCAGACUCCUACGGGAGGCAGCAGUGGGGAAUAUUGCACAAUGGGCGAAAGCCUGAUGCAGCGACGCCGCGUGAGGGAUGACGGCCUUCGGGUUGUAAACCUCUUUCAGCAGGGAAGAAGCGAAAGUGACGGUACCUGCAGAAGAAGCGCCGGCUAACUACGUGCCAGCAGCCGCGGUAAUACGUAGGGCGCGAGCGUUGUCCGGAAUUAUUGGGCGUAAAGAGCUCGUAGGCGGCUUGUCGCGUCGGUUGUGAAAGCCCGGGGCUUAACCCCGGGUCUGCAGUCGAUACGGGCAGGCUAGAGUUCGGUAGGGGAGAUCGGAAUUCCUGGUGUAGCGGUGAAAUGCGCAGAUAUCAGGAGGAACACCGGGUGCGAAGGCGGAUCUCUGGGCCGAUAGUGACGC
This 491-nucleotide ribosomal RNA is filed under the name uncultured Actinomycetes bacterium. RNAcentral's name for it is "bacterial SSU rRNA". It matches the Rfam family "Bacterial small subunit ribosomal RNA", at positions 241 to 746 of the family's 1533-position model. The record is from RNAcentral. Lineage: Bacteria; Bacillati; Actinomycetota; Actinomycetes.